RNAcentral lists this ribosomal RNA (253 nucleotides) under uncultured bacterium. Its description in RNAcentral is "partial 16S ribosomal RNA". It matches the Rfam family "Bacterial small subunit ribosomal RNA", at positions 80 to 334 of the family's 1533-position model. The record is from RNAcentral.
UUUCUUUGCUGGCGACCGGCGCACGGGUGAGUAACACGUAUCCAACCUGCCCUUUACUCGGGGAUAGCCUUUCGAAGGAAAGAUUAAUACCCGAUAGCAUAAUGAUUCCGCAUGGUUUCAUUAUUAAAGGAUUCCGGUAAAGGAUGGGGAUGCGUUCCAUUAGGUUGUUGGUGAGGUAACGGCUCACCAAGCCUUCGAUGGAUAGGGGUUCUGAGAGGAAGGUCCCCCACAUUGGAACUGAGACACGGUCCAA